Molecule: long non-coding RNA, 475 nt
Organism: Felis catus (domestic cat)
Lineage: Eukaryota; Metazoa; Chordata; Mammalia; Carnivora; Felidae
Exons: 2
Source: RefSeq, a predicted model, not a curated record
GGCCGCAGGCGUCGUCGUCACGCGUCGGAACGUGCACACGCCCACCCCGGGGCCCUGGGGGAGACCGGCGCGAGCCAGCCACGCUGCAGGGAUGGGACCUCCGGGACGGCAGAGCCAGGAGGGGAGGCGAGAGCCACGCGGUUGGAGGAGCGGACGCCGAAGAGUGCGCACGAGAUUCUCCGGACCAGAGACGCGGUUCUCCUGGAGGCUCCUGGGAGCACCAGGCUGACAGGGGCGGCCACACGGCGAGGCCGGCCUGCACCUGGGCAGACGGAAGGCAAGCUGACGGGACGUGUUCCUACAGCAGCAGCAAGACACCCUGUGCGGGAGGGACGAGGAAAAAGGGUUUCUUUUUCUCUUAGGAGGGGAGGAAGGCACCUGUUCCCGCCCCCUCUGAGAGGGUCCCCUUGGAAGCACAAUGGGCCCACCCUUAAUUCAAUACUUGGGUAUGUAAAUAAAAUCUCCAGGAGCCAGA